RNAcentral lists this ribosomal RNA (497 nucleotides) under uncultured bacterium. Its description in RNAcentral is "partial 16S ribosomal RNA". It matches the Rfam family "Bacterial small subunit ribosomal RNA", at positions 28 to 507 of the family's 1533-position model. The record is from RNAcentral.
GAUGAACGCUGGCGGCGUGCCUAAUACAUGCAAGUCGAGCGAACAGAUGAGGAGCUUGCUCCUCUGACGUUAGCGGCGGACGGGUGAGUAACACGUGGAUAACCUACCUAUAAGACUGGGAUAACUUCGGGAAACCGGAGCUAAUACCGGAUAAUAUAUUGAACCGCAUGGUUCAAUAGUGAAAGACGGUUUUGCUGUUACUUAUACAUGGAUCCGCGCCGCAUUAGCUAGUUGGGAGGGUAACGGCUUACCAAGGCAACGAUGCGGAGCCGACCUGAGAGGGGGAUCGGCCACACUAGAACUGAAACACGGUCCAGACUCCUACGGGAGGCAGCAGUAGGGAAUCUUCCGCAAUGGGCGAAAGCCUGACGGAACAACGCCGCGUGAGUGAUGAAGGUCUUCGGAUCGUAAAACUCUGUUAUUAGUGAAGAACAAAUGUGUAAGUAACUAUGCACGUCUUGACGGUACCUAAUCAGAAAGCCACGGCUAACUACGUG